Centruroides sculpturatus (bark scorpion) is the source of this 966-nucleotide long non-coding RNA. RefSeq lists it as uncharacterized. Lineage: Eukaryota; Metazoa; Arthropoda; Arachnida; Scorpiones; Buthidae. The transcript has 3 exons. The record is from RefSeq and is a predicted model, not a curated record.
AUAGUCAUAAAACUUGCAUUUGAACUUUAUAUUUUUUCAAGUGCAAUUUUUCUAAGUUAUUUAAAUUUAAUUUUUUGAUUAAGCUAUUUUAAAUCUUUAUCUUAUUUUUAUCCUUUCAUUUUUUCAUUGUCUGGUACCGACGAUACCAACAGCUAAUAUCGAUGACCGAGAAUUCUAGAAAGAUAAUAAAAAUAAAUAUUGCUUAACCACUAAUUUGAUUUGAAAAAAAGCUUAGGUAGAAGUCGACAGAAAGAACUGAAAAUCGAAUUUGAAUAACAGAAUUGAACUAAUAAUCCGAGGGAAAAUGUAUAAAGCAACUAUUUUUCAUUAGAAGAAAUAUGGAUAGAAUUUAAAUUCAUUUCUUUUCAUAUAAAGUUAUCUGAGUAACAGCUUGGAAAGUUCUCUGCUCUUACUGUAAGAAUUCGGAUUCGAUUUCUGAUAGAAAUUGUCUCCUUGAAGAAAUUUGUUGUUGUUGUUGUUGUUGCUUCUAUAAGGCAUUUUAAACGGAUAAGAAUUAAACUAACUUGUAAGUAUUACAUAUCGUGGCCGAGGGAGUAAAAACGCUCGAGUGUCAUUCUAAGGUUUGGGUUUGCAAACAAAUUGGAAUGUUUCGUAACUAACUUAGCCGUAUGUAUUCACCAGGCUUUAUUCCACAUAACUUUCUGAUACCACCGCAAAUCAGACUUGAAAUCGUAGCAGCUGGUCCUCACACUCAAUGGAGUCAGUUGGGUAAUGCAAAACGAUGGUAUAGCCUAGUAUCAUAAUUUUCAAUUAUGUUUCGUGUGAACAAAUUGAUCUAUAUCAUGUUUAAAAGAAACACUUCAGAAAUUUUACACAAAGUAAACAUCCAAUAAUCUCUAAAUCCUAAGAGAUUGCCAUUUCAUAUAAUAAAUAACAACUUUAUCAGACAGUAUUUUUAGUUGCUAAAUAUUAUAUGAUACCUCAAGUCCCCUUCUCACCAUAUGG